This 253-nucleotide ribosomal RNA is filed under the name uncultured bacterium. Its description in RNAcentral is "partial 16S ribosomal RNA". It matches the Rfam family "Bacterial small subunit ribosomal RNA", at positions 524 to 776 of the family's 1533-position model. The record is from RNAcentral.
AACGUAGGGGGCAAGCGUUGCUCGGAUUCACUGGGUGUAAAGGGCGCGGAGGCGGAUAAACAAGUCGGAUGUGAAAUCCCGGGGCUCAACCCCGGAACUGCAUCCGAAACUGUUUAUCUGGAGUAGUGGAGAGGAAAGCGGAACUCCUGGUGUAACGGUGAAAUGUGUAGAUAUCAGGAGGAACGCCGAUAGCGAAGGAAGCUUUCCGGACACUUACUGACGCUGAGUCGCGAAAGCGUGGGGAGCAAACAGG